This is a long non-coding RNA of Cavia porcellus (domestic guinea pig), 536 nucleotides long. RefSeq lists it as uncharacterized. The record is from RefSeq and is a predicted model, not a curated record. NCBI's taxonomy places the organism in Eukaryota, Metazoa, Chordata, Mammalia, Rodentia, Caviidae. The transcript has 4 exons.
CCGAGCAGCGCUCAGAGGAUGGGGCUGGGGGAUGGGGCUGCUCUGUAGGCGCAGGAGCCUGCAGGGGGAGCGCAGACCUGGCGGACCACGUGAGAGUCCAGAGAAGCCUGCACAGGCGGUCCACGCACAUCACACCUGCCCUGCCUGUGCGCAGCCCAACGCAGUCCCAUGUGCACCUCCCCCAUUCUGGCCGCACAUGCUCUGGGAGAGUAGUGACACUUGGAGCUCUGAGACAGGUGAGCAGAGACAAGGUGGAGCUGCCUGAGCCCCUCCCAGACCAUGCUUCAAAUGCAACAAAGAAGGACAUCAGGAGAUCUCAUCACCACCAGAUUCAUCUCUGACUGAUCUACUCAGACUUGCUGCUGAAGACUGAUGGGGCCCACAGCCCCCAUAUUAAGGGUCUUCUCAGAGACCCAAGCCCCACUAGAGAUCUCAGUCCACAGGACUACAAUCAAGGUUGAGUGGCCCCUACCUGGUCUUCUAGGCAACCCCAACAGUGUUCAAAGUUGCUGAACUGCCAUCCUGUUUGUAUAUCA